CAAGCGGUGGAGCAUGUGGUUUAAUCGAAGCAACGCGAAGUAACCUUACCAGGUCUUGACAUCCCGAUGCUAUUCUAGAGAUAGAAAGUUACUUCGGUACAUCGGUGACAGGUGGUGCAUGGUUGUCGUCAGCUCGUGUCGUGAGAUGUUGGGUUAAGUCCCGCAACGAGCGCAACCCCUAUUGUUAGUUGCCAUCAUUCAGUUGGGCACUCUAGCGAGACUGCCGGUAAUAAACCGGAGGAAGGUGGGAUGACGUCAAAUCAUCAUGCCCCUUAUGACCUGGGCUACACACGUGCUACAAUGGUUGGUACAACGAGUUGCGAGUCGGUGACGGCGAGCUAAUCUCUUAAAGCCAAUCUCAGUUCGGAUUGUAGGCUGCAACUCGCCUACAUGAAGUCGGAAUCGCUAGUAAUCGCGGAUCAGCACGCCGCGGUGAAUACGUUCCCGGGCCUU
RNAcentral lists this ribosomal RNA (453 nucleotides) under uncultured Streptococcus sp. RNAcentral's name for it is "bacterial SSU rRNA". It matches the Rfam family "Bacterial small subunit ribosomal RNA", at positions 926 to 1382 of the family's 1533-position model. The record is from RNAcentral. Lineage: Bacteria; Bacillati; Bacillota; Bacilli; Lactobacillales; Streptococcaceae.